UACUCCUACGGGAGGCAGCAGUGGGGAAUAUUGCACAAUGGGCGCAAGCCUGAUGCAGCCAUGCCGCGUGUAUGAAGAAGGCCCUAGGGUUGUAAAGUACUUUCAGUCGGGAGGAAGGCGUUGAUGUUAAUACCAUCAACGUAUUGACGUUACCGACAGAAGAAGCACCGGCUAACUCCGUGCCAGCAGCCGCGGUAAUA
RNAcentral lists this ribosomal RNA (200 nucleotides) under uncultured Providencia sp. RNAcentral's name for it is "partial 16S ribosomal RNA". It matches the Rfam family "Bacterial small subunit ribosomal RNA", at positions 334 to 525 of the family's 1533-position model. The record is from RNAcentral. Lineage: Bacteria; Pseudomonadati; Pseudomonadota; Gammaproteobacteria; Enterobacterales; Morganellaceae.